This is a long non-coding RNA of Perca fluviatilis (European perch), 619 nucleotides long. RefSeq lists it as uncharacterized. Lineage: Eukaryota; Metazoa; Chordata; Actinopteri; Perciformes; Percidae. The record is from RefSeq and is a predicted model, not a curated record. The transcript is spliced from 2 exons.
UUUAUAUAUUUGAUGACAUUACAUAACCAGAAAAUUCUGUUUGCCCGCCCCUUUUCCACACAAUGUGCCACACUGAAGCUCACGUUCCAGUAUCAGCCAACAAUUUUGGCUGAUACUGGUAUUACUUUGAAAAAUAAAUUCAACUGUUAUCUGGGAACAUGCAAACCAGUUUUUCCACUGCUGGACUUCAAAAUCCAGGUGGCCUCCUGCCUGUGCAUGGAGAAGAAAAUCACCAACAACAGAAAGGGGAGACCUGCUCAACCUGUGGUCUUGGAAAAAAAACGAGGACGCAACAGCUUUGUGCCCCCAGAUCCUGUCAGAAGGGACAGCACAGAUCACUGGCCCUUGCAUGCAAUUGAAAAAGGGAGGUGCAAAAUGCCAGGGUGUCAAGGCAUAGUGAGAAGCAAAUGCUCCAAAUGUGAUGUCUUCCUCUGCAUUACCCACGAGCGCAAGUGCUUCGUGGCCUUUCAUCAGGGGUAAAACCUGGAUUAGAAUGCAUGGUGUAAUGUGGAUUUGUUGACAUUGACCAUAAAAUGAUUUUACUGAUGACCAAAUGAGAUGAAUGAUAUGAAUAUGAAUUUUAUAAUAUUAAACUGGAAAUGAACUGUUUUUAAAUCAA